GACGAAGGGGGCUAGCGUUGUUCGGAAUUACUGGGCGUAAAGGGCUCGUAGGCGGCCAACUAAGUCAGACGUGAAAUCCCCCGGCUUAACCGAGGAACUGCGUCUGAUACUGGAUGGCUUGAGUUCGGGAGAGGGAUGCGGAAUUCCAGGUGUAGCGGUGAAAUGCGUAGAUAUCUGGAGGAACACCGGUGGCGAAGGCGGCAUCCUGGACCGACACUGACGCUGAUGAGCGAAAGCCAGGGGAGCAAACGGG
Molecule: ribosomal RNA, 253 nt
Filed under: uncultured bacterium
Lineage: Bacteria
Description: partial 16S ribosomal RNA
Rfam family: Bacterial small subunit ribosomal RNA
Source: RNAcentral